UACGUAGGUGGCAAGCGUUGUCCGGAUUUACUGGGCGUAAAGAGCGCGCAGGCGGUCGCUCAAGUCGCGUGUGAAAGCCCCCGGCUCAACUGGGGAGGGUCACGCGAUACUGAUCGACUGGAAGGCAGGAGAGGGUAGUGGAAUUCCCGGUGUAGUGGUGAAAUGCGUAGAUAUCGGGAGGAACACCAGUGGCGAAGGCGACUACCUGGCCUGUUCUUGACGCUGAAGCGCGAAAGCUAGGGGAGCAAACGGG
This 253-nucleotide ribosomal RNA is filed under the name uncultured bacterium. Its description in RNAcentral is "partial 16S ribosomal RNA". It matches the Rfam family "Bacterial small subunit ribosomal RNA", at positions 524 to 776 of the family's 1533-position model. The record is from RNAcentral.